GAUGAAGAACGCAGCGAAAUGCGAUAAGUAAUGUGAAUUGCAGAAUUCAGUGAAUCAUCGAAUCUUUGAACGCACCUUGCGCCCUUUGGCUAUUCCGAAGGGCAUGCCUGUUUGAGUAUCAUGAACACCUCAACUCUUCAUGGUUUUCCAUGAUGAGCUUGGACUUUGGGGGUCUUGCUGGCCUACGGUCGGCUCCUCUAAAAUAAAUCAGCUUGCCAGUGUUUGGUGGGUAUCGCAGGUGUGAUAACUAUCUACGCUUGUGGUUUUCCACCAAGUAACCUUCAGCAGUGGAGGUUCACUGGAGCUCACAGAUGUGUCUCUCCUCAGUGAGGGACAGCUCUUUGAAUGUUUGAUCUCAAAUCAGGUAGGACUACCCGCUGAACUUAAGCAUAUCAAUAAGCGGAGGA
RNAcentral lists this unclassified non-coding RNA (407 nucleotides) under soil metagenome. RNAcentral's name for it is "partial contains 5.8S ribosomal RNA, internal transcribed spacer 2, and large subunit ribosomal RNA". The stretch from base 1 to 121 matches the Rfam family "5.8S ribosomal RNA", at positions 35 to 154 of the family's 154-position model. The record is from RNAcentral.